CAGAGCCGCGGGAAUACAGAGGGUGCGAGCGUUAAUCGGAUUUACUGGGCGUAAAGCGUGCGUAGGCGGCUUCUUAAGUCGGAUGUGAAAUCCCUGAGCUUAACUUAGGAAUUGCAUUCGAUACUGGGAAGCUAGAGUAUGGGAGAGGAUGGUAGAAUUCCAGGUGUAGCGGUGAAAUGCGUAGAGAUCUGGAGGAAUACCGAUGGCGAAGGCAGCCAUCUGGCCUAAUACUGACGCUGAGGUACGAAAGCAUGGGGAGCAAACAGGAUUAGAUACCCCCGUAGUCCCUGUCUCUUAUACC
This 301-nucleotide ribosomal RNA is filed under the name uncultured bacterium. RNAcentral describes it as "partial 16S ribosomal RNA". It matches the Rfam family "Bacterial small subunit ribosomal RNA", at positions 509 to 808 of the family's 1533-position model. The record is from RNAcentral.